GCCUGAAUAGCUCAGUUGGUAGAGCACUUCACUCGUAAUGAAGGGGUCGUCGGUUCGAAUCCGAUUUCAGGCUCCA
This 76-nucleotide transfer RNA is filed under the name Candidatus Ancillula kalotermitis. Its description in RNAcentral is "tRNA-Thr". It matches the Rfam family "tRNA". Rfam says of the family: Transfer RNA (tRNA) molecules are approximately 80 nucleotides in length. Their secondary structure includes four short double-helical elements and three loops (D, anti-codon, and T loops). The record is from RNAcentral. Lineage: Bacteria; Bacillati; Actinomycetota; Actinomycetes; Bifidobacteriales; Bifidobacteriaceae.